This 639-nucleotide ribosomal RNA is filed under the name Salmonella enterica subsp. enterica serovar Enteritidis. RNAcentral describes it as "partial 23S ribosomal RNA". It matches the Rfam family "Bacterial large subunit ribosomal RNA", at positions 583 to 1225 of the family's 2925-position model. The record is from RNAcentral. Lineage: Bacteria; Pseudomonadati; Pseudomonadota; Gammaproteobacteria; Enterobacterales; Enterobacteriaceae.
CUUUGGGUGUGACUGCGUACCUUUUGUAUAAUGGGUCAGCGACUUAUAUUCUGUAGCAAGGUUAACCGAAUAGGGGAGCCGGAGGGAAACCGAGUCUUAACCGGGCGUUAAGUUGCAGGGUAUAGACCCGAAACCCGGUGAUCUAGCCAUGGGCAGGUUGAAGGUUGGGUAACACUAACUGGAGGACCGAACCGACUAAUGUUGAAAAAUUAGCGGAUGACCUGUGGCUGGGGGUGAAAGGCCAAUCAAACCGGGAGAUAGCUGGUUCUCCCCGAAAGCUAUUUAGGUAGCGCCUCGUGAAUUCAUCUCCGGGGGUAGAGCACUGUUUCGGCUAGGGGGCCAUCCCGGCUUACCAACCCGAUGCAAACUGCGAAUACCGGAGAAUGUUAUCACGGGAGACACACGGCGGGUGCUAACGUCCGUCGUGAAGAGGGAAACAACCCAGACCGCCAGCUAAGGUCCCAAAGUCAUGGUUAAGUGGGAAACGAUGUGGGAAGGCCCAGACAGCCAGGAUGUUGGCUUAGAAGCAGCCAUCAUUUAAAGAAAGCGUAAUAGCUCACUGGUCGAGUCGGCCUGCGCGGAAGAUGUAACGGGGCUAAACCAUGCACCGAAGCUGCGGCAGCGACACUGUGUGUUGUU